Molecule: ribosomal RNA, 440 nt
Filed under: uncultured bacterium
Lineage: Bacteria
Description: partial 16S ribosomal RNA
Rfam family: Bacterial small subunit ribosomal RNA
Source: RNAcentral
CCUACGGGGGGCAGCAGUGGGGAAUAUUGCACAAUGGGGGAAACCCUGAUGCAGCGACGCCGCGUGAGCGAUGAAGUAUUUCGGUAUGUAAAGCUCUAUCAGCAGGGAAGUAGAUGACGGUACCUGACUAAGAAGCCCCGGCGAACUACGUUCCAGCAGCCGCGGUAACACGUAGGGGGCAAGCGUUAUCCGGAUUUACUGGGUGUAAAGGGAGCGUAGACGGCGAUGCAAGCCAGGUGUGAAAGCCCGGGGCGCAAACCCGGGACUGCAGUUGGAACUGUGUGGCUGGAGUGUCGGCGAGGCAGGCGGAAGUCCUGGUGUAGCGGUGAAAUGAGUAGAUAUUAGGAGGAACACCAGUGGCGAAGGCGGCGUGCUGGACGAUGACUGACGUUGAGGCUCGAAAGCGUGGGGAGCAAACAGGAUGAGAUACCCUUGUAGUC